This 316-nucleotide ribosomal RNA is filed under the name Salmonella enterica subsp. enterica serovar Saintpaul. RNAcentral describes it as "partial 23S ribosomal RNA". It matches the Rfam family "Bacterial large subunit ribosomal RNA", at positions 161 to 514 of the family's 2925-position model. The record is from RNAcentral. Lineage: Bacteria; Pseudomonadati; Pseudomonadota; Gammaproteobacteria; Enterobacterales; Enterobacteriaceae.
AAUCCAUAGGUUAAUGAGGCGAACCGGGGGAACUGAAACAUCUAAGUACCCCGAGGAAAAGAAAUCAACCGAGAUUCCCCCAGUAGCGGCGAGCGAACGGGGAGGAGCCCAGAGCCUGAAUCAGCAUGUGUGUUAGUGGAAGCGUCUGGAAAGGCGCGCGAUACAGGGUGACAGCCCCGUACACAAAAGCGCAUGUGCUGUGAGCUCGAUGAGUAGGGCGGGACACGUGGUAUCCUGUCUGAAUAUGGGGGGACCAUCCUCCAAGGCUAAAUACUCCUGACUGACCGAUAGUGAACCAGUACCGUGAGGGAAAGGC